GCAUAACAUCUCUUCUGCAGGGCUCCAGUGUGCGGUAUGUAUACAGAAUUCCAUUCAUGUACAUUAUUUGCAUCACUCUAUUCUAGACGGCAACUCGUGGAUUUCCGCUACUGUGCCAAUUGCAAGGUUUUGCAAAUGUAUAUUCUACAUCUCCAAUCAACUGUAAUACAGACAUUGCGUGAAUGGGAGAAAAACAUAGAUUUCUGUCUUUCGCUACCCUUACAUACAAUUGGACAGAAAGAGACUGUAGAUAAUUUUCAUGUUUUAGUGAUUUUAUUACCUAUCACCUAGGUUGAACUCAUAACCCUUAACAUAUUUUGGCCUAAUUAAAAAAAUUGAAUACAAAUUUGCUAAAUGUAUUUUUUAUUCUCUUAUAUGAUUUGCAGAUAUACAUACAGUAAAUGUAUAUAUAAACAAAAUGCUUAAUAUGUAUUAUUGUGGUAAAUUGGCAAUUAACUUGCAACAUGUAGUCUAAAAUAGCCAAGUCGGAAAAGUUGUUGAUUUUUUUUCAUGUUGGUCUAUUUUAGCCUUAGUUAAUAACUAAUUAAUGACUAGUAAAUAUGUCCCAAAGAAGACUGUGUGUUUGCUUAAACCUUGAAUGUACCUAGUUGUCCUUCAUUUAUAAGCCUAUUUAUAAACACUCUCUAAGUAUAUUUGUAUGUAUGUAUCUGUCGUUCUGUCUUGCUUUGUAUGUUGUUCUAUAAAUGCUUUAAAAAUGGAGUAAAAUCAGGUGUGCUUUAUAUUUAGUCAUGCAGCCAUAAUCAUCUGGAAGACGUCUUAUGAUUUUUAAUCAUGCUACUGUGUCCACGUAUCUUCACAUGAGUCACAAGUCACAGCCGCACCUAAUAGCACCCAACCUACAACAUAAACAUAUAAAACAAAGAUAAAAUGACAUCAUGUUCCAUAUGUUACAUAACAAUGCUUACUGACAACAACAGCCAUUAGUUAUGUGCUGUGCUUGUAUUUAUAUAUGUAUAGAUGUAUGUAUAAAUAUUGUUUUGUCUCAUGUUAUGCUUUGUACCAUUAGUUACAGAUAUUGAAAGGAAUUUAGUGUGAAGUUAAAGUUACAAAACUGAGCCACAAUAGAAAUACCGACAUAAAAUAUCAUCAAACACAUUAACAUGCAUAAACUAUUACAUUUAUUAACAGAUAAAAAACAACAAAACAAAAUAAGAAAAGGAACACACACACAAAAUAUAGUUUACAAGGCUACUUUAAAUCAGAUAGCCGUAGCGUGUUAAGCCCUCCACUACAUCACAGUACCCCAAUAUCGAUAGAUUCUACAUUCAUUUCUAUAUGGGAAAUGAACAGGCUAACUGCAAUAUUUACUACUGCAUAAACUGCAUCUAUGAAAAUGGAAGGGGCACCUUGAGUGGAGGGGCAGGUGGUCAACCAAAAGAGAUCUGAUCAGGAUUCCAAAUAUACACAGAUAAUGGGAAUUGGGGCACACCUGUAACAUGCAUUUGACGUGUACAUUUAAGGCUACACCACUGUUAAAAAAGGCAUGUUCUGGUCUGCCUCCAAUUUCAUUUUUUUUAGAUAGACAGACAGGAUAGAUAGAUAGACAGACAGGAUAGAUAGAUAGAUAGACAGACACAGACAGAUAGUGAUGUCGCGAACCCGAAAUUUUCGGUUCGCGAACGGCGAACGCGAACUUCCGCAAAUGUUCGCGAACCGGCGAACCGCCCGAAACGCCAUUGACUUCAAUGGGGAGGCGAAUUUUAAAACACACAGGGACUCUUUCUGGCCACAAUAGGGAUGGAAAAGUUGUUUCAAGGGGACUAACACCUGGACUGUGGCAUGCCGGAGGGGGAUCCAUGGCAAAACUCCCAUGGAAAAUUACACAGUUGAUACAGAGUCUGGUUUUAAUCCAUAAAGGGCAGAAAUCACCUAACAUUCCUAAAUCACAAUCAAUAUGGAUUGACACCUGACAUAUGACAUAUUGACACCUUGACAUAUGAAUUGACACCUGUCCUCAGAGCCCCUGAUGCACACGGACACAGAGCAGAAUAGAGACUGGUCCCCCUACAUAGGGUCACUUGGCAAAUAUGGAUUGACACCUGUCCUAAGGAUCCCUGAUACACACUGACACAGAGCAGAAUAGGGACUGUUCCCCCUACAUCGGGUCACUUGGCAGAUAUGGAUUGACACCUGUCCUAAGGUUCCCUGGUACACACUGACACAGAGCAGAAUAGGGACUGGUCCCCCUACAUCGGGUCACUUGGCAGAUAUGGAUUGACACCUUGUUACAAACUGCUAUUUGUAACGGGCCCUUUAAAUGGCAAAUUGCCCUGCUUCCCUGGGUUGUGGAGAAGCCUAUUUGCCAGCCUCCUCCCGCAUGACUAUGGCCCCUGGGAGAUUGUGAAAAUGUAUGCACUUUUAUUUGGUGUGUAUGGCCCUUUAAGACUGUCGGUGGGCAUAUUGGGGCUUAUGGACUCUUUAUGUGACUGGUGCUGGCCCUUUAAACACCUUUUUUGGGACAUCAGGAAGAUUGGGACACUGCCCCUUUAAGGCCGUGUCCCCAGACUUGUUGGGGACACGGCCCCUUUAAGACGGUGUCCCCUGUGUCCCCAGACCUGGUGCAAACCCUUUGUGCCUGCCUUGCUAUUUCCCACUUGGUUCAGUAAAUGGGAAAUUAUUUCAGCUGCAGAGACUAAGUCCCAUUCGGCGAUGGGACUUAGUCUUUUUUUCAGCCGUUUUUUUCAGCCUUAUUUCAGCUGCAGAGACUAAGUCCCAUUCGGCGAUGGGACUUAGUCUUUUUUUCAGCCUUAUUUCAGCUGCAGAGACUAAGUCCCAUUCGGCGAUGGGACUUAGUCGUUUUUUCAGCCUGAAAUAGACCGACCUCACAGCCCAAAUCUAUGGAACUGUUUUGGGCAGGAAAAUGUGCUUGCGUCGGUCAUAAAGGGACCUCCAGCUAACUUUUUAACCCCUGGAUGGAUUUGGCUGAUUUUUGGUUAUGUUUAUGUUUUAAGGUGCUGAUUCCAAAUAUGUAAUUAUGAAGAUGGGAUGUGUAGUUUAAAGUUACAGGGUAUGGCUAAAAACUGUAUUUUUACUGCCUGUGUUUAAUUAUGUUAAUCUCUUCCCAAACGUCAUUUCGUUCAAAGUGGAGAGAAUGUUAAAAAAUAUAUUUUUGUUCGGAGUGUGAGAAAUGCUUUUCAGCCGCUUCUAAUCUUAAGCAUCAUUUGAGGAGCCAUACAGGAGAGAAACCUUAUUUGUGGUGUGUUUAGUAUUGUUCUGAUCAGUUUAAUACCUUCCGCGUCUCCUAUCAGUGGACGUGUAUAUGGCAGCCAUUUUAGGAACCGUACACCUGGGACCCGAGCAAGGUCACCUCGUUCAACAGGCGACAACAUUUGUCCCUGGAAAACUAUCCUGGACAUUCUGUACAAUUUGUAUGGAUAUGGCAGUGAUUUCUGUAACAGGGAGAUGGAAGAAGAUGCUUGGUGGGUCCUCUUAAUUCAAAUUUGGGGCACUGCGCGGUCAAGCUAAUGUGCCACCAGAUAGGAGUGGUGUGUUUAGUAUUGUUCUGAUCAGUUUAAUACCUUCCGCGUCUCCUAUCAGUGGACGUGUAUAUGGCAGCCAUUUUAGGAACCGUACACCUGGGACCCGAGCAAGGUCACCUCAUUCAACAGGCUUGCAGCAUAUCCUCCAGGAAGAAGAGCCUGAACCCUUACCGGCUGCACGUGUCUUACCUGUACAUGGAAAGCUGCUGUGGUUCCUUGAUGAGCCAGCUGCCCGUGAGUUAACAUGUCCGUGGAGAAGCACUCUGUCCUGUAAAGCCUCACCAAAAAAAAGGAGUGGUGUGUUUAGUAUUGUUCUGAUCAGUUUAAUACCUUCCGCGUCUCCUAUCAGUGGACGUGUACACGGCAUUGAUUUUUGUAACAGGGAGAUGGAAGAAGAGGCUUGGUCGGUCCUCUUACUGCAAAUUUGGUGCACUGCGCGGUAAAGCUAAUGUGACACCAGAUAGGAGUGGUGUGUUUAGUACUAUUUUAUCAGUUUAAUACCUUCCGCGUCUCCUAUCAGUGGACGUGUACACGGCAUUGAUUUUUGUAACAGGAGAUGGAAGAAGAGGCUUGGUCGGUCCUCUUACUGCAAAUUUGGGGCACUGCGCGGUCAAGCUAAUGUGACACCAGAUAGGAGUGGUGUGUUUAGUACUAUUUUUAUCAGUUUAAUACCUUCCGCGUCUCCUAUCAGUGGUUGUGUACACGGCAUUGAUUUUUGUAACAGGGAGAUGGAAGAAGAGGCUUGGUCGGUCCUCUUACUGCAAAUUUGGGGCACUGCGCGGUCAAGCUAAUGCGACACCAGAUAGGAGUGGUGUGUUUAGUACUAUUUUUAUCAGUUUAAUACCUUCCGCGUCUCCUAUCAGUGGUCGUGUACACGGCAGUAAUUUCUGUAACAGGCAGAUGGAAGAAGAUGCUUGGUUGGUCCUCCUAACUGGAGACUGUGUUGCUGUACUGGUGUAAGGUGGAGCCAUUUAUAAAGUGUACACACCGCUUUAUAAAGCCAUUUAUAAAGUACUAAUACCUUCAUGGCUUGAACCUUAAGCAGGCGAUGUCACGCAAAGUCAACAGGUACCAGAGCCAAAAUACAGCAGCGUGGACCAUUUUUAGCCCAAGGCAGCCUAUCCUUAUCAGGCCUUUUACAUAGGGUCACUGAUUACAAGUGGAUUGACACCUGUCCUCAGAGCCCCUGAUGCACACGGACACACAGCAGAAUAGGGACUGGUCCCCCUACAUAGGGUCACUUGGCAGAUAUGGAUUGACACCUGUCCUAAGGAUCCCUGAUACACACUGACACAGAGCUGAAUAGGGACUGUUCCUCCUACAUAGGGUCACUUGGCAGAUAUGGAUUGACACCUGUCCUCAGAGUCCCUGAUACACACUGACACAGAGCAGAAUAGGGAAUGUUACUCCUACAUAGGGUCACUUGGCAGAUAUGGAUUGACACCUGUCCUCAGAGCCCCUGAUACACACUGACACAGAUCAGAAUAGGGAAUGUUACCCCAACAUAGGGUCACUUGGCAGAUAUGGAUUGACACCUGUCCUAAGUAUCCCUGAUACACACUGAUACACACCUACUUGAAUGGUAUAGACAUUUUUAGCAGCUCCUGGCCCGAACACCUGACCCACAUAGGAGCCGUAAUAGACCGGAUUAGGGAGUCCGGACUGACCCUAAAGCCCAGUAAGUGUCAUAUAGGAACGUGUAAAAACCUCCCCAAGAUAGUAGUAUGGGCCCCAGAAUGUGAACAGGCCUUCCAACAGCUCAAGACGGCGCUCAUUAAAUCACCUGUACUUUCUUCUCCCGAUCCAACUAAACACUUUCUCGUCCAUACAGACGCUUCUAUGCUUGGAUUGGGAGCAGUAUUGAGCCAAGUCGGAGCAGAUGGUGGCUAGCAACCCGGGGCUUAUCUAAGCCGUAAACUUUUGCACAGCGAAGUAUAUUCACUGGCAUUGAAAAGGAGUGCAUAGCGGUGGUGUGGGCCCUCAAAAAGCUGCAACCUACUUGUAUGGACAACCGUUUACCUUACCCACAGAUCACAACAAAUUUGGGGCACUGCGCGUGCAAUCUAAUGUGCCACCAGAUAGGAGUGGUGUGUUUAGUACUAUUGUUAUCAGUUUAAUCACUGUUACGCCCCCUAUCCGUUGAUGUGGAGCAAGACGCAGCAGAAGAGGACUAAGCCGAGGAGGUUAUGGAAGAGGAUGGAGUAGGAGGAGUAGAGGAGGUGGCAGCGUACUGGCAGAGUACACGCUGUAGGGCUGACACACCUGCUUGAAGAUAACUAACUGCUAUUCAAUCUAUAACAGUGAAAAAAAAAUUUUAUUUUUAAAUCCAAGCUAUUGUGACACCAGUGAGUGAGUGGUGUGUUUAGUACUAUUGUUAUCAGUUUAAUCACUGUUACGCCCCCUAUCCGUUGAUGUGGAGCAAUACACAGCAGCAGCACAACAGGACUCAGUCGAGGAGGUUAUGGAAGAUGAGCGUGAACUGCUCAAGGCGGGAGGCGGAGUGGCGGAUGGUUGAGAGGGGACAAGGAGGACAGCAGUGGUUCACGUGGCUGAAGAUGCUGGACCAGGAGGAGGCUGGCGGCUUAGAGUAGGCGAGCUGCUUGUACUCAUGUGUUGAUCCCAUAGGCGUUUGUGAUGUGAGAUCAUGCGCCUACGCAAAGCAGUUGUACCUAGGUGGGUGUUGGACUUCCCACGACUCAGUUUCUUUUGGCACAGGUUGCAAAUGGCAUCGCUGUUGUCAGAGGCAGACACACAAAAAAAAUUCCACACUGCUGAGCUCUGCAAUGACGGCAUUCUGGUGGUGGACACAGUAUGCGUUGAUUGGCGUGCUGUCGGGCUGACCCCGGGUGCCGAUGCAUGCUGUCUGACUGUGCCACUAGCUCCUUGCGACGACCUCCCCCUGUUUCCAACUCGUCUCCUCCUCCUCCCUGUCUCCCCAUCUGAACUUUCGCCCUGUUCUUCUUCUUGACGAGCGGGCACCCACGUGACAUCCAUGGACGCAUCGUCAUCAACCGCUUCACUUGUAUCUGACAACUCAGCAAAGGAAGCAGCAGCGGGUACAACAUCAUCAUCAUCAUCACACCGUACGUCCAUGUGUGUAAUGCUGCCUGCCUGAGACAUAUCCCUGUUAUCUACAUCCUCUGGCAAUAAUGGUUGCGCAUCACUCAUUUCUUCAAACGGAUGUGAAUAACUCCUCUGACAUACCAAGUAAAGCGGCUGUGGUGCUAGUUUUGGUGGUGGCGGCAGGCGGGUGAGUGGUAUCUUGAGAGGUGCCUGAAGCUAAGCUGGAGGAGGAUGGUGCGUCAAGGUUCUGAGCGGAGGCCGUAGAAGAUUGNNNNNNNNNNNNNNNNNNNNNNNNNNNNNNNNNNNNNNNNNNNNNNNNNNNNNNNNNNNNNNNNNNNNNNNNNNNNNNNNNNNNNNNNNNNNNNNNNNNNAUAACAGUGAAAAAAGUUUUUUUGUUUUUAAAUGCAAGCUAUUGUGACACCAGAUAUGAGUGGUGGCACUGACUGAGCAAAUGGGCACAGUAUCCACUGUGAGCCUGACACAGAAGCUGGUAGCAGUGGCAGACAACUGACUGCUAUUCAAUCUAUAACAGUGAAAAAAGUUUUUUGUUUUUAAAUCCAAGCUAUUGUGACACCAGAUGUAAUUGGUGGCACUGACUGGGGAAAUGCACUGUGAGCCUGACACAGAAGCUGGCAGCAGUGGCAGACAACUAAGUGCAUUUACAUUACAUAGAAAAAUAAAAUAAAAAAAAAGCAUACCCUUAUCCCUAACCUAGCUAUGCUUUUCCCUAUCUUAUGAACAGCAGCUACACUUUCCCUCCUCUUACUAAGCAUGCAGCUUGAGAAUGAAUCUAAAAUGGAUGCUGUCCAGUAGGUGGGAGGGUCUGCUAGGGAGGCUGUGCUGCUAAUUGGCUGGAAUGUGUCUGCUGACUGUGAGGUACAGGGUCAAAGUUUACUCAAUGAUGACGAAUAGGGGGCGGGUCGAACCGCGCAUAUGUUCGCCCGCCGUGGCGAACGCGAACAUGCUAUGUUCGCCAGGAACCGUUCGCCGGCGAACCGUUCGGUACAUCACUACAGACAGAUAGAUAGAUAGAUAGAUAGAAAGAAAUAUUAGAUAGAUAGAUAGAUAGAUAGAUGAUAGAUACAUAGAUAGAUAGAUAGAUAUAUAGAUAGAUAGAUAGAUAGAAAUAUUAGAUAGAUAGAAAUAUUAGAUCGAUAGAUAGAUAGAUAGACACAGACAGACAGACAGAUAGAUAGAUAGAAAUAUUAGAUAGAUAGCUAGAUAGAUAGAUGAUAGAUAGAUAGAUAGAUAGAUAGAUAGAUAAAUAGAAAUAUUAGAUAGAUAGAUAGAUAGAUAGAUAGAUAGAAAUAUUAGAUAGAUAGAUAGAUAGAUAGAUAGAUAGCAUGGGACUUCAAACAUGCAGUAGAAACAUGGAGCAGGGCUGAUUUCUAAGGCAUGAAUUGUUGCAAAUACAAAACUAAUUUAAAGUCAAUUUCAAUUUUUAAGCCAAAAUAGCCAAACUUGAAAAAUCUUGUGAGAAAUCCUGGUUUUCACUGGCUGCUUUAGUUUCAGAUUAUUAAAAGAGUUAUUUAUGUACGUUGGUCAUUUCACACUAUACCAGGACACUCGGCAGCUUUAUCACAGCCAAUCUGCUGAAUGCACCUUUUCCAGCACGGACAGGGUAAAUAAUGGUUGCAUGGGAGGGUAUAAUCGAUAGUGCCAACAUUACAGUUUAUCAGAAUAAUUAUAUAUUUGCAGAGUGUACCAUUAACUAUUAUUAUAAUGUGAUACAUCGUAUGAUUAAUCGCAGUCAUUAAAAAUAAUGUUGGAUCUUACAUAAUGAAAUCUACUAACAAACUGUGGGUGGUUGCUUAACGUGUAAAAGGUUCUUCUUGGAAACCGAUGUUUGUGCAGGUGGAGGUUGGAGGUAGCUCCUUUAUGCCUGUGUAGAGGUUACUAGAUAAAAUAUUCACCAAGUAAGCUUUAGUGAACUGGAGAUCUAUUUUGUUUUAGAACUUAUGCUAUGUUGUUUUUCUUUGUGAAAUCUUUUGAGUGCAAGAUUGUAAAAUUGUGUUACUGAUAUGCAGAAUUAAUGUUGCAGCAAGAGAGGUGUACAAUUUACUUUUUUUGUUACAUUUUUUUUUGUUUGAUUCAAAUACAACAAACUUGAAACUUUUGUUCUAGUAAGGCAAAAAACACACUAAAAUAGAUAAUAUGUAAUAGAAAAUCAACAGCACCAUAACCUGCUAUAGUUCGUUGUAAUGUUUAUGGUUCCAGGAGUGCCCUGUUGCCCCCAAUUGUAUGUAGUCAAACCAUUUGCUAACAGUUUCACUUCUUACUUGGGGUCCUCUGGAUGGGACUCCUACCUCCAUUACUUUUUAUGGAAGGCAGGAAAUGCCUAAACAGUAAUUUCUGUUAAAGGACCACUAUAGUGCCAGGAAAACAUACUCGUUUUCCUGGCACUAUAGUGCCCUGAGGGUGCACCCACCCGCAGGGUCCCCCUCCCGCCCGGCUCUGGAAAGGGGUAAAAACUUACCUUUUUCCAGCGCUGGGCGGGGAGCUCUCUGCCUCCGAUCCUCCUUCUCUCCUCCCUCGUCGGCUGAAUGCGCACGCGCAAGGAGCUGCGCGUGCAUUCAGUCGUCGCAUAGGAAAGCAUUAUCAAUGCUUUCCUAUGGGACGCUACGUGUUUCACUGUGAUUUUAGCGCUUUGUCAAUGAGACAGCCGCUAGAGGAAAUGGGGGAAGGCUUAACCCAUUCAUAAACAUAGCAGUUUCUCUGAAACUGCUAUGUUUAUAAAAAAAUGGGUUAACCCUAGCUGGACCUGGCACCCAGACCACUUCAUUAAGCUGAAGAGGUCUGGGUGCCUAGAGUGGUCCUUUAACUCUUAUAAGUUAAGUCUAGCAAUGCAAAGUUAUCUCAUUGGCUGAGAACUGCAGCUGAUUGAUCUCAGUCAAUGAGCUAAGCACUGGUGGGCUUAACUCAGAUAGAGAGCUUCCAAUUCUCCACUAGAUGCAGUGAGGCAAUAAGUGAUGCAAGUAUAAUAAGUGAGUCAAACCAUUCUAAAAACAAUCUGACUACUUACAUUGAGGGAGUGCAGGACACUCCCGAUGCCAUAAUCACUACAGCAAGAAUAACUUGUUGUGAUGUGAUAUAGUGGACUACAGACUUUUCAGGUGGGUCCUGGACUGUCCAUCUGAUAAUCCUUUUCUAUUUCAUUCUAUCUGUCUACUUAUUUACAAAUAUAAAUCUAUAUCCUAACAUGUUAAUUUUUUUUCUCCAGAACUCUUCAUCAUGUGGAAUCCAAACCAAGGUAAGUGCUAGCUCACAUCUCAUUCACUGGAUCUGCCCUGCUUUGACCAUGUAGACUUUACUUAUCUUACAGUCAAGCAGCUAAAAAAUAUCCAAGUCAGAACCAAAUCAAAUGUUUAUCACACAGUGACUCCUGACACCACAAUCUCUUGAUUUCACAUAUUAUAGGGUACCAUAUUUUCCAUAGGCCAAGGGUGCCCAAAAGAUAGAUCUUCAGAUGUUGUAGAACUACAACUUCCACAAUGCUUUGCAUACCUCUAGAAUGCUUUAAAAUGACAACGUAUCAUAUAAGUUGUAAUUUUAAAACAUCUGGGGAUCAACCUUUGGCACCUCCACCAUAGACUAUUUUGUAUCCUUCUACAUCCACUAUACUUCAAUUUCAAUCCAUUUUCUCCAUAACACAUGCCACACAUUUAAGACCAAUCUGAUAUCCUUCAUCUCUCUUAUUUUGUAACACAUUAUGGGCAUCAUCAGUAAGGCAAGCCCAUAAAUGACAAUAGAGAGAAUUGGCAACAUUUUACACACAAUUUCUACAUGUCACAGCAAAGUGGGAUGUUUUUUCCUUGUUUCAUGUGUACUAAAAAUAAUGACAAAAUAGUUAAAAAAAUAUAUUUCAAAAAUGAAUUUCCUCAUAUUUUUUGCAAACAUGAUUAAAUUAUAUAUUUAUUGCCUCUUAGUAUGUUGUGCACUCUAGUUGCCAUAAGUACUUUUUGCACAGCACAUAAACAAAUAGAUGUCAGGAUGCCCAUACAAUACAAUGUCUCUGUAUAAUACCCCAGCUCGCUCUGCCUAAAUCUAUCUCUCUAGCUUACUCUGAGUCUUUCUCUCAUGCUUUUCUGAUCUCAUCUUCAGUGGAAAUAGUGCUGUAAAUGAGUACGUUUGAAAAUGUUAUCUUUUUAGCAAAUGUUGUUGUUGUUGCUAUGCCCCACGUCAGCGACUCCUGACUCAACAUUAUCACUGCGGAUUGAUCAUUUGAUAACUACAAGGCCAUAAGGAAUGUAUUAAUUUCCUACUGUAUUAACAAUGUGGAGAUUUCCAGCUUUCAAACUAGCCACAACACGGGUGUCUCGGGUCUCAGCUUCAGAGCCACUCAGCACUAGAAGUUACAUACAACAAAGUUAACACACAGUUUAUGAUCUUAAAGAAUGUGAGAAUGUGUGUUUUUCUGAAACUCUCCUUUAGCUAGGUAGGUAUAAGGCUAAACUAUAAAGAUGUUGAUAAAGGAUACUAUAUUAUACAACAGGGGUUCAUCUGCAUACUAUUAGGACCUCAUGCUUUACUAGAACUGAAACCUGUUAAAGAAUUAAAGAGGAACAGUGUUUUUUUUUUGUUUUUUUUUUUUAUGGAGUAGGCUAUUCUACUUUUUUUCUCCUAUUUUUUAGCCCACCCCCUGCUCCCAUUAGAAAAAAAUCUUAGUGGUUAUAAACUACUGUCAAUCAUCUUCUUUCCACAUAAAACUGGUGGGGACCAUAUGGACAAGCCAAUACUAAGUGUAAUCAUAUUUUUUUCAAAGUCAAGGUAUGAUACAUAUUUGGCAUAGUUAGUGGUCAAAGUGUUUAAAAACUAGAACAGUGUGGCAUGCGUUAUGGAGAAAAUGGAUUGAAAUUGAAGUAUAGUGGAUGUAGAAGGAUGUGAAAUAGUCUAUGGUGGAGGUGCCAAAGGUUGAUCCCCAGAUGUUUUAAAAUUACAACUUAUAUGAUGCUUUGUCAUUUUAAAGAACAAUGUGAAAUAUACAAGACAUACACACAUACACACAUUUAUGACUUUUGAUUUUAUUCUGUUAUUUGAUUAUUUUACAUUCAACGUUACACUUUCACCAUUAUCUGUAGGUAAUCAUCUAAAGCAGUGUUCCCCAAUCCAGUCCUCGUGGACCACCAACAGUCCAGGAUUUAUGUAUUUUCCUGUUUUAUUCCAAUGGAAAUACUGACAAAACCUGAACUGUUGGUGGUCCACGAGGACUGGGUUGGAGAACACUGAUCUAAAAAACAUUGGUUUAUCCACUAAAUAGUGAAUUAUCAUGAAUUAUAUUAUAUAUAUUAUAUCCCACACAUUUAAAGUAUUUUAGAAUUUAAAAAUAUUCUCAGUGUAAUUUAUUAACUAGGAAUAGUCUGGAACUAACCAUGAAAUUGAAGAUUUUAGGCUAAAAUAACUGAGCAGAAUAAAAAGCUGACCGAUACAUUUUCUAGUUCAGCAGUUUGGGAGUAAAAUGUCCCUGUUUAAUUUAGUUCAAUUUCCUGUUUAGAGAAUAACUUUGUCUGAUGAACUAUAUUAAAAUGUUAUAAACGACUUGUAAAAUUGCAGCCAAGUCACAGAUUACUUUCCAACAAAAUUCUUUUGGUACACAUUUUCCAAGUCAAUUGGCCACUCUCCACAAUUUACUGUAAAUAGACAGAUCUCUAUGGUAAGAGUGUAACUUCUUCACAGCCAAGCAAAUGCUAAAAAAAUAAUCAACAGAAAUGGUAUUGUUUGUAUUCUGGAAAGGAAGAGAAACAUUGUUUUGUUUUUGUUUGUUUCAGAAUAUAGCACAUUGUUUAAAGUGGUACUGUAACCCUUCAUAUACAAUGUUUUCUUUUAAGCUAAAAAUACAGACUCCUACCACCAUGACCACUUCAAGUCACUGAAGUGGUCAUGGUGCUUGGAUUAAUGCUUUAAUGGCAUACACAUACAUUUCUGUUGAUUCCCAUUUAUGGACAAAACAAUUAAGUUAAAUAUAUAAAGCAGUAUUUUAAACAAGGAUUCUGAAUAUGUACCUCACAUUUUGUGUGCUUAAUAUUUGAUAACAGGUUAUUCACAUUGUGACACCAUUUCUCCAUAAAUUCUAUAAUCUUAUUAUUAAGAAUCUGUGAUCAGUGCUUUGGCUGACAUUUGGAACAUAUUGAUACCUGGUGCUGCUACUAUCUUAGCUACCAAGAUUAUGCCAAGGGCAUAUUUUGCAUCAAAAUUAGUUUGCAAAAAAAAUAAAAUUUAAUUUGCAAGUGUGCCAAUAACAUANNNNNNNNNNNNNNNNNNNNNNNNNNNNNNNNNNNNNNNNNNNNNNNNNNNNNNNNNNNNNNNNNNNNNNNNNNNNNNNNNNNNNNNNNNNNNNNNNNNNUACACACUUACAUACUUUUAUUUAGCUAUACACUUUUUUGGUAGUGAAGGAGUUAAAGCCAAGUACACGCAGGCUUAUUCAUUGAGCUAACUCAAUUUACCAUCCUCUGAGAUUUACAACACCAUCUCUGAAAUUGUGUUUGGCAAAUAACUGAACUAUAGUUUUGGGUUAAAUUCAAGGUCAUUUUUCUUUUUUCUUUUUUUUAUUUUCAAAUCAAUGCCUAAUUCACACCCUAGUGAAUCACUCCAGUGGACUUUUUGUUAAUGGAAUAGUUUGGUUUCUUCAAGGUUCUGUACAUUAACAUUAAAAUAUUUAUAUUGUACCCAUUUUCUAGGGCAAAUAGAAUAAUUGUGCUUAAUUUUGCUUUGUCUAUAUAUGAUUGUGUUUUGUAAAAUGGGAUUCAUGUUGCAUACAUGUUAUGCAUUGUAUAGAACAUUAAUGAUAGUGAGGAAUCUACUGGAUUCUUAUUAUUCAGCCUUUUGUUCCAUCAGGUACCUAUUAUGGACCACCCCCAGCCUAUGUUCCUCCACCAGGGACCUAUCCAGUGGCUCCUGCACCCUAUGCUUACCCAGGCUAUCCAGUACCACCUCCUCCAGUAGCUGGCUAUGUAUGUGUAGCUAAUCCUCCCUGUGCACCUGGCUAUCCCUGUCAUCAUGGACAUUAUGGACAUCAUGGUCAUCAUGGUCAUCAUGGUCAUCAUCACCACCAUCACCACUGCUAAAAUGGCCAUACAAA
Molecule: long non-coding RNA, 13638 nt
Filed under: Pelobates cultripes (western spadefoot toad)
Lineage: Eukaryota; Metazoa; Chordata; Amphibia; Anura; Pelobatidae
Source: RNAcentral